UACGUAGGUGGCAAGCGUUGUCCGGAAUUAUUGGGCGUAAAGCGCACGUAGGCGGCUAUUUAAGUCAGAGGUGAAAUCCCGGGGCUCAACCCCGGAACUGCCUUUGAAACUGCAUAGCUAGAAUCUUGGAGAGGCGAGUGGAAUUCCGAGUGUAGAGGUGAAAUUCGUAGAUAUUCGGAAGAACACCAGUGGCGAAGGCGACUCGCUGGACAAGUAUUGACGCUGAGGUGCGAAAGCGUGGGGAGCAAACAGG
RNAcentral lists this ribosomal RNA (253 nucleotides) under uncultured bacterium. RNAcentral describes it as "partial 16S ribosomal RNA". It matches the Rfam family "Bacterial small subunit ribosomal RNA", at positions 524 to 776 of the family's 1533-position model. The record is from RNAcentral.